GUGCUCACUUUAGCAGCACAUACACUAAAGUUGGAACGAUACAGAGAUUAGCAAGGCCCCUAUACAAGGAUGACAUGCAAAUUUAUGAAGCAUUAUAUAUCUUG
This is a small nuclear RNA of Cynocephalus volans (Philippine flying lemur), 104 nucleotides long. The record is from RefSeq and is a predicted model, not a curated record. NCBI's taxonomy places the organism in Eukaryota, Metazoa, Chordata, Mammalia, Dermoptera, Cynocephalidae.